CAGUAGCCGCGGUAAUACGGAGGAUCCAAGCGUUAUCCGGAUUUAUUGGGUUUAAAGGGUGCGUAGGUGGCCUGUUAAGUCAGGGGUGAAAGACGGUAGCCUAACUAUCGCAGUGCCCUUGAUACUGAUGGGCUUGAAUGAACUAGAGGUAGGCGGAAUGUGACAAGUAGCGGUGAAAUGCAUAGAUAUGUCACAGAACACCAAUUGCGAAGGCAGCUUACUAUGGUUUUAUUGACACUGAGGCACGAAAGCGUGGGGAUCAAACAGGAUUAGAUACCCGAGUAGUCCCUGUCUCUUAUAC
RNAcentral lists this ribosomal RNA (301 nucleotides) under uncultured bacterium. Its description in RNAcentral is "partial 16S ribosomal RNA". It matches the Rfam family "Bacterial small subunit ribosomal RNA", at positions 509 to 807 of the family's 1533-position model. The record is from RNAcentral.